Molecule: unclassified non-coding RNA, 246 nt
Filed under: air metagenome
Description: partial contains small subunit ribosomal RNA, internal transcribed spacer 1, and 5.8S ribosomal RNA
Rfam family: Eukaryotic small subunit ribosomal RNA (bases 1-46)
Source: RNAcentral
AAGUCGUAACAAGGUUUCCGUAGGUGAACCUGCGGAAGGAUCAUUAAAGAUUCGGGCCUCACCGCCCUUACCUCUUCAGCUGUGCGCUUCGGCUGCACGCUGUUGAAACCUUCUCACACCCGUGCACCUUCUCGGUCGCGGCAGGCUCACGCCGGCCGCUUCCGCCCUUUUACAUACAACCACAUAGUCUAGCAUGUCUAAUACUAUAAAAAGUAACAACUUUCAACAACGGAUCUCUUGGCUCUC